AGAAUACUGAUGUUGUUGGGAAUUCCAGUGAAUGUUUGUUGAGUAAUGGAGACGAGAGUCCAAAGGUGGAAGAGUCUAGUGUCGGCGAUGGGGUUGUGAAGAAGCGAAAUAUUGGGUUACGGGGACGUGGUGCAAUGAACACCAGCAAACAUUUGUGGGCUGGAGCAGUUGCUGCAAUGGUAUCAAGAACUGUUGUUGCUCCACUUGAAAGACUAAAGCUGGAAUAUAUAGUUCGUGGUGAACAGAAGCACCUCUUGGAGCUCAUCAAAACAAUUGCAGUUACUCAAGGCUUGAGAGGCUUUUGGAAAGGGAACUUGGUUAAUAUACUUCG
Molecule: unclassified non-coding RNA, 331 nt
Filed under: Hevea brasiliensis (rubber tree)
Lineage: Eukaryota; Viridiplantae; Streptophyta; Magnoliopsida; Malpighiales; Euphorbiaceae
Source: RNAcentral